RNAcentral lists this ribosomal RNA (501 nucleotides) under uncultured bacterium. RNAcentral's name for it is "bacterial SSU rRNA". It matches the Rfam family "Bacterial small subunit ribosomal RNA", at positions 27 to 518 of the family's 1533-position model. The record is from RNAcentral.
UCAGGACUGAACGCUAGCUACAGGCUUAACACAUGCAAGUCGAGGGGCAGCAUUGGAGUAGCAAUACUCAGAUGGCGACCGGCGCACGGGUGAGUAACACGUAUCCAACCUGCCGCUUACUCGGGGAUAGCCUUUCGAAAGAAAGAUUAAUACCCGAUGGUAUAAAGAGUUCGCAUGUUCUCUUUAUUAAAGAAUUUCGGUAAGCGAUGGGGAUGCGUUCCAUUAGAUAGUUGGCGGGGUAACGGCCCACCAAGUCUACGAUGGAUAGGGGUCUGAGAGGAAGGUCCCCCACAUUGGAACUGAGACACGGUCCAAACUCCUACGGGAGGCAGCAGUGAGGAAUAUUGGUCAAUGGACGAGAGUCUGAACCAGCCAAGUAGCGUGAAGGAUGACUGCCCUAUGGGUUGUAAACUUCUUUUAUAAGGGAAUAAAGUGAGGGACGUGUCCCUUUUUGUAUGUACCUUAUGAAUAAGGAUCGGCUAACUCCGUGCCAGCAGCAGC